CCUACGGGUGGCUGUAGUGAGGAAUAUUGGUCAAUGGCCGGAAGGCUGAACCAGCCAAGCCGCGUGAAGGACGAAGGUGCCAAGCAUUGUAAACUUCUUUUGUCAAGGGACAAACUCAGGCUCGAGAGCCUGAUCGAGGGUACUUGAAGAAAAAGCAUCGGCUAACUCCGUGCCAGCAGCCGCGGUAAUACGGAGGAUGCGUGCGUUAUCCGGAUUUAUUGGGUUUAAAGGGUGCGUAGGCGGACUCUUAAGGCAGCGGUAAAAGCCCGGGGCGAAACCGCGGCGAUCCGUGGACACUGGGUGUCUUGAGAUGUCGAGAGGUAUGCGGAAUGCGCAGUGUAGCGGUGAAAUGCUUAGAU
This 359-nucleotide ribosomal RNA is filed under the name uncultured bacterium. RNAcentral's name for it is "partial 16S ribosomal RNA". It matches the Rfam family "Bacterial small subunit ribosomal RNA", at positions 338 to 695 of the family's 1533-position model. The record is from RNAcentral.